GAGUUUGAUCUUGGCUCAGAUUGAACGCUGGCGGCAGGCCUAACACAUGCAAGUCGAGCGGAUGACGGGAGCUUGCUCCUUGAUUCAGCGGCGGAUGGGUGAGUAAUGCCUAGGAAUCUGCCUGGUAGUGGGGGACAACGUUUCGAAAGGAACGCUAAUACCGCAUACGUCCUACGGGAGAAAGCAGGGGACCUUCGGGCCUUGCGCUAUCAGAUGAGCCUAGGUCGGAUUAGCUAGUUGGUGGGGUAAUGGCUCACCAAGGCGACGAUCCGUAACUGGUCUGAGAGGAUGAUCAGUCACACUGGAACUGAGACACGGUCCAGACUCCUACGGGAGGCAGCAGUGGGGAAUAUUGGACAAUGGGCGAAAGCCUGAUCCAGCCAUGCCGCGUGUGUGAAGAAGGUCUUCGGAUUGUAAAGCACUUUAAGUUGGGAGGAAGGGCAGUAAGUUAAUACCUUGCUGUUUUGACGUUACGACAGAAUAAGCACCGGCUAACUCUGUGACAGCA
RNAcentral lists this ribosomal RNA (508 nucleotides) under bacterium enrichment culture clone ALO1_GLFRUDD03HGFRO. Its description in RNAcentral is "bacterial SSU rRNA". It matches the Rfam family "Bacterial small subunit ribosomal RNA", at positions 9 to 513 of the family's 1533-position model. The record is from RNAcentral.